This 474-nucleotide ribosomal RNA is filed under the name uncultured bacterium. RNAcentral's name for it is "partial 16S ribosomal RNA". It matches the Rfam family "Bacterial small subunit ribosomal RNA", at positions 28 to 507 of the family's 1533-position model. The record is from RNAcentral.
GAUGAACGCUAGCGGCAGGCCUAACACAUGCAAGUCGAGGGAGGAGCCUUCGGGCUUCGACCGCCGUACGUGUGCGUAGACCGUAUAGUAUCUGCCUUUCACAUAGGGUUAGCCUGUAGAAAUUUUUAUUAAUACCUAAUGUAAUAUAGGUUUAUCAUCUCCUUUAUAUUAAAGCUGAGUCGGUGAAAGAUUAGUUUUCGUUCAAUUAGCUAUUUGGUGAGGUUACGGCUCCCCAAGGCGACGUUAGAUAGGGGGUCUGAGAGGGAUAUCCCCCACAAUGGUACUGAGAUACGGACCAGACUCCGACGGGACGCAGCAGAGAGGAAUAUUGGACAAUGGUCGGAAGACUGAUCCAGCCAUGCCGGGGACGGAAAGACGCCCUUAUGAGUUGUCAACUGCUUGUGCAGAAGAAAAAUAAGGACUACGCUUAGUUUGAUGACGGUACUCAGCGAGAAAGCAACGGCUAACUACGUG